This 1891-nucleotide long non-coding RNA is filed under the name Amborella trichopoda. RNAcentral describes it as "long non-coding RNA (ATRI_LNC004286)". Lineage: Eukaryota; Viridiplantae; Streptophyta; Magnoliopsida; Amborellales; Amborellaceae. The record is from RNAcentral.
AAAGACCAAGAGAUAUAUCCAAAUGUCCUAAUCUUAUUAGAUUUCUAUUUCCUUUAAGAAACUUAUCAAUAUCAAUAUCAAUCCCACAUAAUAUGGGAAUUUCCUUAUGUGGGUGAUUGUGGAUAUCACCAUAUCCAACAGGACGUACUUUUUCCCUGAAAUCUUCAGCUGAGCAUAACUUUGUAACUGAAUUAUACGCCAUCUGAUCUCAUGUCUGUGUAAGGACAUUGUGUCAUGAAAAAUAACUUAAAGAGGACUAACAAUUUUACUAAUAUCUUGUUAUGAAAUGACCUUGUGGGGAGUAGUGGCCGUGGUACAUUUCUGGGCUAUUGUUAAUUUUAAAAGUCUAGUUUACAUGGAUACCAUCUGUGUUUGAAUGCUUGUGCUUCUAAGGCUCUUGUUCUCUGGUUGUUUUUGCUCAAUGAAGUUUGUAGGAUGAAAUUGUUACACACAUGCACACACUGUUGGGCAGUGCAUGGUUAUAUUUAUGGGACUUGGAUCAAACCACUGGUGAGGAUUUCCAGUUAAAUUUGCGCAGACAAUAAAGUUAAGCAUUCAAAGAUUUGGAGCCCACUGCCUUGCCCUCAUUCAAAUGUUUCAGAUUCUGGGUUGGCAUGUUUGAAUGGUUUUGCACGAAUACAUAUCCAGUCUGAUGUUGUAUGGUUUUAUAACUAGGGAACUACCUUGGCAAGUCCUCCAACUCUUUGGCUUAACUCACUUGCCAUGAACCAGCGAGCCAAGGCUUCUGUUUAUAAUGUUAAUUUGUAGUUCUGGUCUGGCUUCGAGUUUAAGAGAACAUGGUACCAACCAGGCUACUUGGCAAAUGCAUUAGUGGUUGAUUUUGGCGGGCCUUUUAUUUAAAUUUUGAAGAUUAGCUUAAAGCUUUAAUUAUGAGGGUCAGCAAUUACUGCAAAUUGAAAAUGGUUUUGAGUUGUAGCAAGAAAAUUAGUCCUUCGGGAAGUAGACAGGAUGAUUGAGGUGAGUAGAUGUUUACUUUUUUUAGAUCCUAAAUCCUUGCCAUAUACUGGUUUUGCCAAUUAUCUAUGUCACAACUCUGUGUAGAUGCUUAUGUUUAUUGGGGCGGUUAUGUAGUUUUGUAGAUUUCUGAAAACUACAGAUAUUCACUGAAAUUGUUUAAUCAAGCUAAAUUAGGUUAAAUUCGUGUAAAAAAGGUACUAGCACAGCCAUGUAGCUACUACAAGUAAAGGACUUGAGCUACCAGAUACAAUAUUUGGGUGAUGCCUUUCCCAAACAAAAAUUUGGUAGGUUUGAAGGUGAUUAGUGUGAGCUGUGGCAUCAUCUCGUUCAUGUGAGUGUCUCUGCAUGUCGCAGUCUCGUGUCUUGGAACAUGUUGCCACAGAUCAGGAAGGUAGGAAAAGAGGAGAGAGUAGCAGAAUUGCAUUGGAAAAGAGAAAAGCGGCUAAAAUGGGUUCCUUUUAAGGUGUACCAUGGGCUUGGUUGGUUGCUUUAAAAUGUGAAGUGUUCGGUCGAUUCUUACUUCACAAUAUUUUUGUUAUGCAGUGUCCUAGUCACUGUUUCUUUCUGCUGCAAUUGAAGAGCCAUUGUCAUAUUCUCUCUCUCUCUCUCUGUGCAACUAUAAUAUUCUUUUCUUUCAAAUAUUAACAAUAUUCAUAUAAAACAGAAGAAAUUAAAAGAAGAUGGGGCACUGUUGUGCCUGUCACAGUUUUAGUUUAGGCAGAUGCAUCUGGUGUCGACAGUUUAUAGGCAAACCAAGACGUUUGAUAAAAUACUUGAUCAUGGUCAUAACGAGUCAUCACCGUCCAAUCAAUAAGAUUAACGAUGAAGAAUGGGUCCCCAAAAACAUUUCAAUAUUUCAGUUGCACAUACACCCUGUCAUUCAACCUUGCGACCAUACUGUCAUGAUGAUCAU